Molecule: ribosomal RNA, 806 nt
Filed under: beta proteobacterium SCGC AAA043-E02
Lineage: Bacteria; Pseudomonadati; Pseudomonadota; Betaproteobacteria
Description: bacterial SSU rRNA
Rfam family: Bacterial small subunit ribosomal RNA
Source: RNAcentral
UCGAACGGCAGCACGGAGAGCUUGCUCUCUGGUGGCGAGUGGCGAACGGGUGAGUAAUAUAUCGGAACGUGUCCAAUAAUGGGGGAUAACGAGUCGAAAGAUUCGCUAAUACCGCAUACGCCCUACGGGGGAAAGCAGGGGAUCGUAAGACCUUGCGUUAAUGGAGCGGCCGAUAUCUGAUUAGCUUGUUGGUGAGGUAAAGGCUCACCAAGGCGACGAUCAGUAGCUGGUUUGAGAGAACGACCAGCCACACUGGAACUGAGACACGGUCCAGACUCCUACGGGAGGCAGCAGUGGGGAAUUUUGGACAAUGGGGGCAACCCUGAUCCAGCCAUUCCGCGUGAGUGAAGAAGGCCUUCGGGUUGUAAAGCUCUUUCGCAAGGGAAGAAAACUUAUGAUCGAAUAAAUCAUGAGGUUGACGGUACCUUGAUAAGAAGCACCGGCUAACUACGUGCCAGCAGCCGCGGUAAUACGUAGGGUGCGAGCGUUAAUCGGAAUUACUGGGCGUAAAGCGUGCGCAGGCGGUUUUGUAAGUCGGAUGUGAAAUCCCCGGGCUCAACCUGGGAACUGCGUUCGAAACUGCAAGGCUAGAGUGUGUCAGAGGGGGGUAGAAUUCCACGUGUAGCAGUGAAAUGCGUAGAGAUGUGGAGGAAUACCAAUGGCGAAGGCAGCCCCCUGGGAUAACACUGACGCUCAUGCACGAAAGCGUGGGGAGCAAACAGGAUUAGAUACCCUGGUAGUCCACGCCCUAAACGAUGUCAACUAGUUGUUGGUAGAGUAAAAUCUAUGAGUAACGUAGCUAACGC